RNAcentral lists this transfer RNA (72 nucleotides) under Aedes aegypti (yellow fever mosquito). It matches the Rfam family "tRNA". From Rfam's summary of the family: Transfer RNA (tRNA) molecules are approximately 80 nucleotides in length. Their secondary structure includes four short double-helical elements and three loops (D, anti-codon, and T loops). Further hydrogen bonds mediate the characteristic L-shaped molecular structure. tRNAs have two regions of fundamental functional importance: the anti-codon, which is responsible for specific mRNA codon recognition, and the 3' end, to which the tRNAs corresponding amino acid is attached (by aminoacyl-tRNA synthetases). tRNAs cope with the degeneracy of the genetic code in two manners: having more than one tRNA (with a specific anti-codon) for a particular amino acid; and 'wobble' base-pairing, i.e. permitting non-standard base-pairing at the 3rd anti-codon position. Lineage: Eukaryota; Metazoa; Arthropoda; Insecta; Diptera; Culicidae. The record is from Rfam by way of RNAcentral.
GGCACGGUGGCUUAGUUGGUAAAGCACUCGUCUAGCAUACAAGAGUUGUGGUUUCAAAUCCCACCUGAGCAC